CAGCAGCCGCGGUAAUACGAAGGGCGCAAGCGUUACUCGGAAUUACUGGGCGUAAAGCGUGCGUAGGUGGUGGUUUAAGUCCGUUGUGAAAGCCCUGGGCUCAACCUGGGAAUUGCAGUGGAUACUGGAUCACUAGAGUGUGGUAGAGGAUAGUGGAGUUUCCGGUGUAGCAGUGAAAUGCGUAGAGAUCGGAAGGAACAUCUGUGGCGAAGGCGACUAUCUGGGCCAACACUGACACUGAGGCACGAAAGCGUGGGGAGCAAACAGGAUUAGAUACCCCUGUAGUCCCUGUCUCUUAUAC
This 301-nucleotide ribosomal RNA is filed under the name uncultured bacterium. RNAcentral's name for it is "partial 16S ribosomal RNA". It matches the Rfam family "Bacterial small subunit ribosomal RNA", at positions 509 to 807 of the family's 1533-position model. The record is from RNAcentral.